AAAGUAGUGGGCGUGCUCUUACUAGAAUUAUUAGCUGUGCUUGCUGCUUCUGUGUUUGGUAUGGGAAACAAAUAUGUUAUUAUUAUUUUUGUGGUGGUUCAACUGUUACCAGAGCUUCUGCUUGCAAGUUUGGCAAAGACUAAAUAAUUCAUAGUUUUCGCUGCUUAUUAGAACUUGUGACACUUUGUAUUUUUUCUGGAGGGUGUGGGCAAUAAGCCCGUAGUUACAACUGGAGUCUCUGCUCCCUUUAUUUCAUUAGUGAAAACCCGCCCUGCAAGAGCUUGUGUUCAGCCUCCUGCUGCCUGCUUGCAGUGGUGGGACUUUGCUUUACAAGGCGGCGCUCCGCCAUGCCGCAGAGACUCCACGCUCAAAGGUGUCCAUUAGAUUUACACUUAGGAGCCCAAUAUGGAAAAUAAGUGCUUAAAGCCACGGAAAGUCUUUUGGAAGAUUUUGGUAGGAAUUAAUGUUACAGUCACUGGUAUGAGCCGCCAUAUUUCAUUUAUAGCCAUUCCUCUACCUCUCCACAUAUAAGUAUACAGAGAUCCAAUGUGAGAUAGACAGCAGUUCUGUGAAAAUAAAGGAAAACAAUUCUUUUAUACCAUUAGAAAAAUAAUGUAUUUAUAUUUUUUUUAAAGUCAGCCACCACCUCUCUGGAAUGCGUAUUAGACGGUAGAUAAAAAAGUUGUGUCUCUUGGGAUUUAUACUGUGCAGCUGUGCCCCCCUAAACCCCACUCCUGCACUGGCUAACACACUAGGCUCAGCAAAUAUAUGAGCUUUGAUUGGCUAAACAUGGUGUCAGUCUGCUCACAUAAAUGGUUUUACUUUCCUGCCUUGACCAAAGUAUUGAAUUGUACUGCUAAAAGGUAAGAGACAAUCAUGUGAGUUGUGUGUCUUUCAUUGCCCUUUCUCUGAUCACAAAAAGUCCAGCAAAGCACAGUUGUGACUUUAGAAUCCCUUGACUUGGCAUGUUAUUGGUGUAUACAAGUCUUAUUGUGCAUGUUUCUUGAUAAAUCAGCAAUGACCAUUAGCCUUGUUCAGAGUUUCAUAUUCUUCCAAUAUUAUUAGGACUAAUAGUUUGUACUCCUUCCUUAUGCUUUAAUAAAUACUUAGAAGUGCUCGCUCCUCAUAGCCUGACUAAGAGCUUACCACAUCUAAACAAGCUCUCAUGCUAUUCACCCUCCUCCCCCACAGUUGCCUCCUCAGUCUAUAUCCUGUCCGCCCCCUCAGAACUCCUCCUACUUGUUCUAUAACGUAUCUACACUAUACUCGGCCCCAAGGUUGUUUAUAUCUGCUCUGAUUAUGCCCUUUUAAGAACAUAUCUGCAGUAUUCUUUUCUCAUUCCUCUACACCUUCAUUAUUACUUUUUCCUACAUGAUACCUGCUCCUAUAGCUUGGUUUCCCAAAGACAGAUCAGCACAUUUACUAACUCUCAUCUUAUUUCGCUAUGCAGCCUAUUACCAAAUAUUGCUCCCAACAACCAGAUGUAUUUCAAUCUGCUGUCACACCACUACUAUACAAACUAGUUUUUAAUUGUAUGAAACUGUCUGUGUAUAUUUUAUACACAGAAACAUGUUUGAAUGGUUUAUGUUAAAUAUUGUAAUGUCAUUAAAUACAUUUAACUUUCUUUUUAAGCACCAUGUGGUACUAUAGUCAGGAGUCACAGUGUGUCAUGCUUGCACACUCUUUACGCCUACGCUUCCUGCGAGCUGUGCUCAGGAAGCCAAACUUCCUCAUGAAUGACUGACAAACAUGUAAUUCUUCUCUUGAUUUUUGCAAGAAACAGCAAGGAAUUAUUGUGCAAAUAAAGAUUUUGACAAAUGCACUAGCACAUUCCAUCUUACAACACUGGGCACAGUACAGAAUAACAGACUGGAGUAGAGAAUAAUGAAUACUUUAGAUGGCUAUACAUGGGAUCAUAAAUGGGGUCCUUCCAGACCGAGUCGGCAGCUUAUUGACUGGUGUAUGUGGCCCAAUGGUGGCCCUGCUUAACCAAUACUUGGCUGAAAUUGGAUAUCAAUAUGGCAAGUUUCCUGUUUGACAAGGAGCACAUUGCCUGAGAUGAACAAGAACCAAUUAUAACUGAUGACAUCACUAAGCA
Xenopus tropicalis (tropical clawed frog) is the source of this 2098-nucleotide long non-coding RNA. RefSeq lists it as uncharacterized. NCBI's taxonomy places the organism in Eukaryota, Metazoa, Chordata, Amphibia, Anura, Pipidae. The transcript has 3 exons. The record is from RefSeq and is a predicted model, not a curated record.